Molecule: ribosomal RNA, 497 nt
Filed under: uncultured bacterium
Lineage: Bacteria
Description: partial 16S ribosomal RNA
Rfam family: Bacterial small subunit ribosomal RNA
Source: RNAcentral
GAUGAACGCUGGCGGCGUGCCUAACACAUGCAAGUCGAACGGACAGAUGAGGAUCUUGUUCCGCUCACGUUAGCGGCGGACGGGAGAGUAACACGUGGAUAACCUACCUAUAUGACUGGGAUAACUUCGAGACACCGGCGCUAAUACCAGAUGAUAUAUUGCACCGCAUGGUUCGAUAGUGAAUGACGGUUUUGCUGUCACUUAUAGAUGGUUCCGCGCCGCAUUAGCUAGUUGGUAAGGUAAAGGCUUUCCACGGCAACGAUGCGUAGCCGACCGGAGAGGGGGAUCGGCGACAGUGGAAGUGAGACACGGUCCAGACGCCUACGGGAGGGAGCAGUAGGGAAUCGUCGGCAGUAGGCGAGAGCAUUACGGAGCAAGGCGGCGUGAGUGGUGAAAGUCUUCGGAUCGGAAGGCAGUGUUAUUAGGGAAGAACAACUGUGUAAGUAACUGAGGACGUAUUGACGGUACCUGAUCAGAAAGCAACGGCUAACUACGUG